CUGAACAGGUAACUCUGAAAAAAAGACCAUUUUCGUCCAGGGACUAGCUGAAAAUGUCACCAUCCAGUCGGUCACUGACUACUUCAAGCAAAUAGGAAUCAUUAAGACAAACAAGAAAACUGGGCAGCCCAUGAUUAACCUCUACACAGACCGUGAGACCGGGAAGCUAAAGGGGGAAGCCACAGUGUCUUUUCAUGAUCCCCCAUCGGCCAAGGCAGCCAUCGAUUGAUUA
Molecule: long non-coding RNA, 232 nt
Organism: Dermochelys coriacea (leatherback sea turtle)
Lineage: Eukaryota; Metazoa; Chordata; Testudines; Dermochelyidae
Exons: 3
Source: RefSeq, a predicted model, not a curated record